UACGAAGGGGGCUAGCGUUGUUCGGAUUUACUGGGCGUAAAGCGCACGUAGGCGGAUCGUUAAGUCGGGGGUGAAAGCCCAGGGCUCAACCCUGGAAUUGACCUUCGAUACUGGGAGUCUUGAGUUCGGAAGAGGUUGGUGGAACUGCGAGUGUAGAGGUGAAAUUCGUAGAUAUUCGCAAGAACACCAGUGGCGAAGGCGGCCAACUGGUCCGAAACUGACGCUGAGGCGCGAAAGCGUGGGGGAGCAAACAGGGAUUAAGAAACCCCGGUGAG
RNAcentral lists this ribosomal RNA (275 nucleotides) under uncultured bacterium. RNAcentral's name for it is "partial 16S ribosomal RNA". It matches the Rfam family "Bacterial small subunit ribosomal RNA", at positions 524 to 793 of the family's 1533-position model. The record is from RNAcentral.